This 1266-nucleotide long non-coding RNA is filed under the name Homo sapiens (human). RNAcentral's name for it is "HSALNT0404781". Lineage: Eukaryota; Metazoa; Chordata; Mammalia; Primates; Hominidae. The record is from RNAcentral.
AUUUGAGUUUACUUCUGGGUUCUCUAUUAUGUUUCAUUGGUCUAUGUGCUUAUUUUUAUACCAGUAUUAUGCUGUUUUGCUGACUAUGGGUUUGUAGUAUAGAUUGAAGUCAGGUAAUGUAAUGCCUCCAGAUUUGUUCUUUCUGCUUAGUCUUGCUUUGGCUAUGUGGGCUCGUUUUUUUUUUCCCAUAUGAAUUUUAGAAUUAUCAGGAGCCACCAGGUGCUGCAGCAGCUUUGGGAUAACUUGAGGGCGCAUCCUGGGGAAGAAACACCUCCUGUCCAUGGUGCUGACUGCUGAGGACAGUGCUUCGGCGUGGCUUCUCCGUGGCCCAGCUUCUUUGGGGCGUUUUUCUUUCAUGGUUCAUCCAUAUGGCUCCAAAUGAAAAUUACAUUAAUUAUGGAUGAAGAGUAUUGUGUUGUGCAGAUAUACUGCAGUUUCUUCAUCCCUUCAUCUAUGGAUGGACAGGUUCCACAGUGUUGCCACGGAUGACCUGAUUUCAGUACCCAUGUCUGGCUGAAGAGUAUCUGGUUGUGACUGGAUACUGCAGUUUCUGGAUCUCAUCCUCUGUGGGUGGACAGGUUUCUCCAUCUUGCUGGUAGUGAACUGAUGUCCGGAAGUUUGAUGGCCGAAGAGUAUACCGUUGUGCAUAUAUCCUUCAAUUCCUGAUUUUAUCAUCUGUAGAAAGACAAAAAUCUUCAGACUGAUUUCCACAGUUUGAGAUCUAGUUUGCAUUACCUCCAAGAGAAUAGCCAUGUUUGCUUUUCUCUGCUGCCACACCAGCAUGUUAUGUUUUGACUUAGGACAAAUGGCCACUCUGACCAGCGUGUGAUGGCACCGGUACCUCAUCUCUGAUGAUUGGUGAUGUUGAGCAUUCCCCAUGCCUGUUGGAAUGGCAAUCCCUUGGAAAUGUCUUCUCAAUAGUUACUACCCAUAGAGAACAGACCCUCCCAGUCUUCAGUGCACUCUAAAUACUGGCUAAUUCUGGCCAAUGGAAGGCAUCUGUGGAAGAAAAAAGCCUCAGAUCAUGUGCUGUCUGUCUUUAUUCAGUGUGACAUAUUAGGUAAUGGUCACAGACACUCACCAUGGCCCCAGUUUUUAAUAACAUGACCCUGCUUUUGUGUUCCAGUAACUUCUGUUGUUUUCCCAAUCCUAAGUAUGAUAGAAACUUCCUGCUGCUGCUAAUCUCUGGGUUCCAUUUAAAAUCCUUCCAUCACAUGAAUACUAUGCUGUGUUCUAAAUUUUUCCAUAAUUAAAUACUUACAAUUA